Molecule: long non-coding RNA, 2382 nt
Filed under: Podarcis lilfordi (Lilford's wall lizard)
Lineage: Eukaryota; Metazoa; Chordata; Lepidosauria; Squamata; Lacertidae
Source: RNAcentral
AAGCUCCGCCCCUCUCCCGGCUACGCAACUUCCAGGUCCGCCGCCUCCGGAAGUCCGCUUCCAAAAGAAGGUCGAAAGUGCCGCUCUGUAGCGGGGCUGCGGCGUGACGCAACUUCCGCUCCCCUGUGGAGGUGAGAGCGGGCUGCCUCUAUAGGCGAGAGUGGGUGGGGGAAGCAGGAUCCAUGUUCUCAAUAGAGGACGAUUGAGACCGACAGCUAUUAUACUUCCAUCAGAAUCCAGCGCUCAAAACUACACUUCCGACACACCUCUAAGCAAGUGGCAAUAGGAUGACUGGCCUCCAUUAAUGCAAAUGCUGCUACAAGCAGACUGAUGCAAGUAGCGAGGUCAGUAUGUGAACUGGUUUCCAAACAAAUUACCUUUCUGGUAAAAAUAAACUGUCAUUCAAGAAAUUCAGAUUACCUAUAUUAAAUUAUUUUAACAAAGAAAUACCCAAAUUUGCAGUCCUACUUAUUUGUAGCUUUAAUGGCCUCAUUGGUACACUUCCAGUUUCUGUUACAUUUUUAUAUAUGUUUUUAUGCUGCAAUGCUGAAAAACCUACCUCAAGUCAACGGGACGUAUUCCCAACAAACAUGUUAAUGAACAGGUGCAGUGUGAUGCAGCGUUUGGGGAAAGGUGAACCAAAAAAUGACUUAAAAGUUCAUAGCAAUUGCAUAUCCAAGCCAAUUUCUAUUUCCAGAACAAUAUAAACUGCAUCCAUGAAAAUAUAUUUAAGGCUGAGACGUAAACAAAAUUAUCAGCGGUCUUCCUCUCUCUCUCUCUCCUCAGUUAUUAGGGCUGCACUGAAAAUCCACCUCUUUUGAUCUUCAGGCCAAAAGUAUACAGUGAUACCUUGGGUUAAGAACUUAAUUUGUUCUGGAGGUCUGUUCUUAACCUGAAACUGUUCUUAACCUUAAGCACCACUUUAGCUAAUGGGGCCUCCUGCUGCUGCACGAUUUGUUCUCAUCCUGAAGCAAAGUUCUUAACCUGAGGUAAUAUUUCUGGGUUAGCGGAGUCUGUAACCUGAAUCGUAUGUAACCCGAGGUACCACUAUUUCAGAGGCAGAAUGUAUCCCUCGUACCCUAAGUUAUGCAAACAUUCCUAUUCACCGGCAUUUUUUCCUUGAUCUUUUACAUCUCCCCCUCUUACACUGGGUUGUCAGCUUGAUAAUAUGAACCAUCAACCUGAAAUGGGAACCACAUAAUGAACUGGAUGUCAUUUUGGAAGCAGUAAUGCUUUUGAAUACCAACCAGCAGCUGGAAACCACAGGAGUCGGGGAAGUACUCUUGAGCACAAAUCCUGCUUGUGGGUUUCUCACAGCAAUCUGGUUGGCCACUGUCAGAAGAUGCUGGACUAGAUGGGCCAUUGGCCUCAUCCAGCAGGCUCCUAUGACGUUCAUAAGACACUAUGUAGCCUGAUUUGGCUAUGACAUCACUAGUAAGGACAAACAAAUCCAGUUCAGAAUUGUUCUUGAACUGGGUAACUCUUUUAAGUCCUUUUACAGCAUACAUUUUCCUGUUGUUGAAAAUGGAGAUGUAUUGAAGUGUUUUGUGAGAAUCACAUGCAAAAGGGCAAAAGGACCCAUGCUUUGGCUAUAAAAAUCUAGUUCACAAGUUAUUGGACUGAAAAAUAAUUUUGCCAGCAGGAUGGUGCCCAACCCGCAAGCUUGACAAAGAGCAAUCCAUUAAGUACAGAGGAACUGUAUGGCCACAAUUUGACAAGGACUGAGGACUUUGCAGCACUGAGGUAUGGAUGACACUGUCUCUGGUCCUUAGGGAGUCUCUAUGAUAUUCUGGGGUUUAUGUGCAGUCUGCUGUGCCUUCAGUGGCCACACCGGAUUUUUGUUUUGCAGAUGAUAUUUGUUAAGUACAGUACACUAUCCUGCCUAGGCCUGAACUGCAAGGUAUGAAAAAGAAAGUUUUGUUGUUUUUUUGAAUGUGCCUUUUUAUAUUUUAUCUUAUUGUACCUUUGGCUAUGAAGUGUUUAUAAAUCUGCAAAAUGAAAUAAAUAACAUGAAAUGGCUUGUGGAUCCCAAUGUACCUGACAACAUUAUUGGAAGCAGGCACCAAGGCAGUUGUGGGAGAUAUAAAAGGCUUAUUAACCAAUAAAUACAUGGAUUUACAGAACUGCAUCAACAUCUUCUGCAUGUCAUGUCCUGUGGGGUCUUGAGGGCUCAACAACUCUCUGUUCUAAGGAAGGCAUUCUGUUUAGGGGUCACCUAUUCUGCUUCAAUUCCAGAGCCAAUAGUCACCUUAAUACAAACUAGAGAUGCGGGUGGUGCUGUGGUCUAAACCACUGAGCCUAGGGCUUGCCGAUCAGGUGGUCAGCGGUUCGAAUCCCCGCGACGGGGUGAGCUCCUGUUGCUCGGUCCCAGCUCCUGUCAAC